GAUGAACGCUGGCGGCGUGCCUAAUACAUGCAAGUCGAGCGAACAGACGAGGAGCUUGCUCCUCUGACGUUAGCGGCGGACGGGUGAGUAACACGUGGAUAACCUACCUAUAAGACUGGGAUAACUUCGGGAAACCGGAGCUAAUACCGGAUAAUAUAUUGAACCGCAUGGUUCAAUAGUGAAAGACGGUUUUGCUGUCACUUAUAGAUGGAUCCGCGCCGCAUUAGCUAGUUGGUAAGGUAACGGCUUACCAAGGCAACGAUGCGUAGCCGACCUGAGAGGGGGAUCGGCCACACUGGAACUGGGACACGGUCCAGACUCCUACGGGAGGCAGCAGUAGGGAAUCUUCCGCAAUGGGCGAAAGCCUGACGGAGCAACGCCGCGUGAGUGAUGAAGGUCUUCGGAUCGUAAAACUCUGUUAUUAGGGAAGAACAAAUGUGUAGUAACUAUGCACGUCUUGACGGUACCUAAUCAGAAAGCCACGGCUAACUACGUG
RNAcentral lists this ribosomal RNA (496 nucleotides) under uncultured bacterium. Its description in RNAcentral is "partial 16S ribosomal RNA". It matches the Rfam family "Bacterial small subunit ribosomal RNA", at positions 28 to 507 of the family's 1533-position model. The record is from RNAcentral.